RNAcentral lists this long non-coding RNA (1498 nucleotides) under Homo sapiens (human). Its description in RNAcentral is "HSALNT0338451". The record is from RNAcentral. Lineage: Eukaryota; Metazoa; Chordata; Mammalia; Primates; Hominidae.
CACUGCACUCCAGCCUGGGUAACAGAGUGAGAGCCCAUCUCAAAAACACCAAAAACCAAAAAACAACCUCAGAGGAGAUUGCCUAAGUCCACAGAGCAAGAAAGGAAAUUGGGGCAGAGUAAAGGGGUGAGUUUCUUCUUCUACCUCUGGCCAGUGUGUAAGGAUGGGAUGCUCAGAGCUAGCAGUACUUUGGGCCCAUGAGGUCAUGCUAAGCAUGGCACAGCAGAAAACUGGAAACAUUUUGGAUCCUUGAUAACACUGUUGAGUUACUGCAUUAACCAAGUCUGCAGCCAAACCGCUUUGAGGCUUACUUCUGUGGAAAAUAAAUCUUCUCGUUGAGCUGAGUUUUCUGUCAUUAGCAGCCAAAGGAAUCCUAACUGAUAUACUGAGCAAGGCAUUCGUUAUUCACUCGGUUAAUCCAGACUUAAAUCUAGUUACUAAAUCUAAAUUUUUAUAAAAGUUACUUACAGAUUAUUUAAUAGUCAUAAUAUUUGUAAAACAUUAUGGUAGAAAAUGCUGUGAGAUUAUAAUUACAGUUAUAAUUAUAGGAUGGAAGAAUUACUUGUUUGAAUUUAUUCACGUAUCAUGCAUUUCAUGAUCUCUUCCUCUGUACUCAGCACUGUGCCCUCUCACAAGAUCAUCACGGGCUAGUGACAAAUGAUCAGAUACAAAAAUAUACUAUGAGUCAGCGGAACGUGCCACGCUUUAAGGCAGACAAACAUGCAGCUGGCCCAUGGGGAGGGAGGAAGGACUAGAGGGACACGGGGACGGUUUUUCAAACCAGGCAAGUGGAGACGAGAGCAGAAAGAAAGAGCAGCUUGCGCAAAGGCCCUGGGUCUCUCAGAUCACGUGGAAUCUCUUGAUCGGUUCCACAUGGACCAGCUUCUGACACCCUGGCUGCAGAACAGAAGCGGCGGCUGGGAGAGCUCUGCCCUCUCUCACUAGCUGGAAUCCCGUCUCCAACUCUCUGCAGCCGACUCCAUCUGCGCAUCACUCCGAUCUGUAUUACAGUGAUUACUCCGGCGUCUGCAUCUCGUCCUGAGGUCCUGAACUUUGGGAUGGCACCGACCAUCUGUGACUGUCCGACUCAAAACAUCGGUGCCUGGCACAGGAAGCAUCUCAUUCUGUCUCUCCUCACCCCCCUUAUGCAUUUCACCCAUCACCAAGGCCCAUAGAGUCUACCUUGCAGCGUCUCACCAAUUCACCUGUCUCUCUAAGGCCACUGGCACCUCAUGCCAGCCCUACUAAUGGGCUCCUUCCUUCGCCCCUCCUCCAGUCUAGUCAAUAUGUUACCAAAGCAUUAUCCCUCUCCACUGCUCUGCCCUUCAAUCAUCUGUACCACAAAAUGUGACUCAAUAAAUUCAAGCUGCUAUUCCAAACGUGGCCUCAUUUGUCACACCAGCCUCAAGCUUCAUCUCGCACCACUCAGAGUCUGCUCCACACCAAACCCAGCAGGACCAGGUAGUAUUUCCACAUCUGCCCCUCGCGUUCCUGCCCC